Molecule: ribosomal RNA, 466 nt
Filed under: uncultured bacterium
Lineage: Bacteria
Description: partial 16S ribosomal RNA
Rfam family: Bacterial small subunit ribosomal RNA
Source: RNAcentral
GAUGAACGCUGGCGGCGUGCUUAACACAUGCAAGUCGAACGGAAAGGCUCCUGCUUGCAGGGGUACUCGAGUGGCGAACGGGUGAGUAACACGUGGGUGAUCUGCCCUGCACUUCGGGAUAAGCCUGGGAAACUGGGUCUAAUACCGGAUAGGACGAUGGUUUGGAUGCCAUUGUGGAAAGUUUUUUCGGUGUGGGAUGAGCUCGCGGCCUAUCAGCUUGUUGGUGGGGUAAUGGCCUACCAAGGCGUCGACGGGUAGCCGGCCUGAGAGGGGGUACGGCGACAUUGGGACUGAGAGACGGCCCAGACUCCUACGGGAGGCAGCAGUGGGGAAUAUUGCACAAUGGGCGCAAGCCUGAUGCAGCGACGCCGCGUGGGGGAUGACGGCCUUCGGGUUGUAAACUCCUUUCGCUAGGGACGAAGCGCAAGUGACGGUACCUGGAGAAGAAGCACCGGCUAACUACGUG